Fomitiporia mediterranea MF3/22 is the source of this 97-nucleotide transfer RNA. It matches the Rfam family "tRNA". From Rfam's summary of the family: Transfer RNA (tRNA) molecules are approximately 80 nucleotides in length. Their secondary structure includes four short double-helical elements and three loops (D, anti-codon, and T loops). The record is from Rfam. Lineage: Eukaryota; Fungi; Basidiomycota; Agaricomycetes; Hymenochaetales; Hymenochaetaceae.
GCCCGCCUAGCUCAAUCGGAUAGAGCGUCAGACUCUUAUCGAGCAAAUAUCGUUAGGCGGAAUCUGAAGGCUGCGAGUUCGACCCUCGCGGUGGGCU